RNAcentral lists this ribosomal RNA (292 nucleotides) under Escherichia coli. RNAcentral's name for it is "partial 23S ribosomal RNA". It matches the Rfam family "Bacterial large subunit ribosomal RNA", at positions 2657 to 2925 of the family's 2925-position model. The record is from RNAcentral. Lineage: Bacteria; Pseudomonadati; Pseudomonadota; Gammaproteobacteria; Enterobacterales; Enterobacteriaceae.
GAGAACUGAGGGGGGCUGCUCCUAGUACGAGAGGACCGGAGUGGACGCAUCACUGGUGUUCGGGUUGUCAUGCCAAUGGCACUGCCCGGUAGCUAAAUGCGGAAGAGAUAAGUGCUGAAAGCAUCUAAGCACGAAACUUGCCCCGAGAUGAGUUCUCCCUGACUCCUUGAGAGUCCUGAAGGAACGUUGAAGACGACGACGUUGAUAGGCCGGGUGUGUAAGCGCAGCGAUGCGUUGAGCUAACCGGUACUAAUGAACCGUGAGGCUUAACCUUACAACGCCGAAGGUGUUU